AGAGUUUGAUCCUGGCUCAGGAUGAACGCUAGCGGCAGGCUUAACACAUGCAAGUCGAGGGGUAACAUUGUGCUUGCACAGAUGACGACCGGCGCACGGGUGCGUAACGCGUAUAGAAUCUACCUUAUACUAGGGAAUAGCCUUUGGAAACGAAGAUUAAUGCCCUAUAGUAUGUUGUUUUGGCAUCAAGACAACAUUAAAGGUUACGGUAUAAGAUGACUAUGCGUUCUAUUAGCUAGAUGGUGUGGUAACGGCACACCAUGGCAACGAUAGAUAGGGGCCCUGAGAGGGGGAUCCCCCACACUGGUACUGAGACACGGACCAGACUCCUACGGGAGGCAGCAGUGAGGAAUAUUGGACAAUGGAGGCAACUCUGAUCCAGCCAUGCCGCGUGCAGGAUGACUGCCCUAUGGGUUGUAAACUGCUUUUAUACAGGAAGAAACCUUUUCACGUGUGAGAAGCUGACGGUACUGUAAGAAUAAGGAUCGGCUAACUCCGUGCCAGCAGCCGCGGUAAUACGGAGGAUCCAAGCGUUAUCCGGAAUCAUUGGGUUUAAAGGGUCCGUAGGUGGAUAAUUAAGUCAGGGGUGAAAGUUUGCGGCUCAACCGUAAAAUUGCCUUUGAUACUGGUUAUCUUGAAUUAUUGUGAAGUGGUUAGAAUAUGUAGUGUAGCGGUGAAAUGCAUAGAUAUUACAUAGAAUACCAAUUGCGAAGGCAGAUCACUAACAAUAUAUUGACACUGAUGGACGAAAGCGUGGGGAGCGAACAGGAUUAGAUACCCUGGUAGUCCACGCCGUAAACGAUGGUCACUAGCUGUUCGAACUUCGGUUUGAGUGGCUAAGCGAAAGUGAUAAGUGACCCACCUGGGGAGUACGUUCGCAAGAAUGAAACUCAAAGGAAUUGACGGGGGCCCGCACAAGCGGUGGAGCAUGUGGUUUAAUUCGAUGAUACGCGAGGAACCUUACCAGGGCUUAAAUGUAGAUUGACAGGUUUAGAGAUAGACUUUUCUUCGGACAAUCUACAAGGUGCUGCAUGGUUGUCGUCAGCUCGUGCCGUGAGGUGUCAGGUUAAGUCCUAUAACGAGCGCAACCCCUGUUGUUAGUUGCCAGCGAGUCAUGUCGGGAACUCUAACAA
RNAcentral lists this ribosomal RNA (1133 nucleotides) under Lacinutrix himadriensis. RNAcentral describes it as "bacterial SSU rRNA". It matches the Rfam family "Bacterial small subunit ribosomal RNA", at positions 8 to 1146 of the family's 1533-position model. The record is from RNAcentral. Lineage: Bacteria; Pseudomonadati; Bacteroidota; Flavobacteriia; Flavobacteriales; Flavobacteriaceae.